GGCAGAGGACUAAGAGUGACCGACUCAUGGAUGUGGCUUGGACUGCUGAAGCUGCUCAUACUUUGAGUCCCAGUUUCAUAUUCAUCCCGGCUACCUUGACUGGGGGCACAUGAAUUUCUCACAGGUGACAAUCUCAUCUCAUUCUUGUUCCCUUUAUUUGCUCCCAUAUCUGUGCUAACACUACUUCGGACACUCAUAUUGCCACUGGAGCUAAAUUCUGAAUCGGGAUGCCGAUUAUCAACAGGCCGUAAAACAGACGAUGAUGCCCUGGCCUUGGCUGCAGCCCUCAUGGCCUCACUGGAAUCUAACUUUGCAAGCUUCCAAGCACUAAUACGAACAGAUCUUUUGGGUACCUUUUGCCCUCUUUCUGCAACUCCAGCUGCAUCUGGA
Molecule: long non-coding RNA, 390 nt
Filed under: Citrus sinensis (sweet orange)
Lineage: Eukaryota; Viridiplantae; Streptophyta; Magnoliopsida; Sapindales; Rutaceae
Description: long non-coding RNA (CSIN_LNC002628)
Source: RNAcentral